This 524-nucleotide ribosomal RNA is filed under the name Legionella moravica. RNAcentral describes it as "bacterial SSU rRNA". It matches the Rfam family "Bacterial small subunit ribosomal RNA", at positions 45 to 558 of the family's 1533-position model. RNAcentral also lists the same sequence under 1 other name. Lineage: Bacteria; Pseudomonadati; Pseudomonadota; Gammaproteobacteria; Legionellales; Legionellaceae. The record is from RNAcentral.
UGCUUAACACAUGCAAGUCGAACGGCAGCAUGACCUAGCUUGCUAGGUUGAUGGCGAGUGGCGAACGGGUGAGUAACGCGUAGGAAUAUACCUUAAAGAGGGGGACAACUUGGGGAAACUCAAGCUAAUACCGCAUAAUUUCCUUGGAAAAAAGCUGGGGACCUUCGGGCCUGGCGCUUUAAGAUUAGCCUGCGUACGAUUAGCUAGUUGGUAGGGUAAAGGCCUACCAAGGCGACGAUCGUUAGCUGGUCUGAGAGGAUGACCAGCCACACUGGAACUGAGACACGGUCCAGACUCCUACGGGAGGCAGCAGUGGGGAAUAUUGGACAAUGGGGGCAACCCUGAUCCAGCAAUGCCGCGUGUGUGAAGAAGGCCUGAGGGUUGUAAAGCACUUUCAGUGGGGAGGAGGGUUGACAGGUUAAGAGCUAGUUAACUGGACGUUACCCACAGAAGAAGCACCGGCUAACUCCGUGCCAGCAGCCGCGGUAAUACGGAGGGUGCAAGCGUUAAUCGGAAUUACUGGG